GCAAGAAAUCCUCAUACAUAGAAAGGAGACCGAACCCUACGGCACACCUGGACCCUCCCGGGCGAAGCAUACUUUCGUUACACGGGACCUAAUUGGAUCCUUGUUCUCCUCAAUAGAGUCAGUAAAGACCUCAGAGUAAAAUUGAAGCUACUCUUCUGGAGGGUCUGGCACAUAGGAAUGAUGCAAUAUUCAGAAAAGGAGAUUGUCCGAUCUCAGCCUCGGUGAAUUUUUUGGAAAACUAUCUAGACUCUUUGAACCCAGAAAGAAAGGAGAGCAUGGAGAGUGCCAAGAAGCAGGCAGUCGGUGCCGUGACAGUGGUCAUGCUAAUGGUGGUUCUGCAGCUGAUGACAGCUCCAUCGGCCAUGGCCCUCACACACAAGCCGCACAGCUCCCACAUUUUGGUGUCCAAGCUAGGAAUGCGACGGCUCCUCUUCUGCACCCAACCGUUGGGGACCUCGUGUACUUCUGUUACGCAGUGCCCUCAAGGAGUACUUGUUGCAUGUAUAAAUGGAAAAUGCAUGGCUUGUGAUCUCUGAUGGUACGUACUAAUCUUCUCCGCGGUGUUGAAGCUCUUUUUUUUUUGGCUUUUUUUCCCCAUGCCAUGUGUAUUUUCCUACUGGCAGACAGACAGCAAGGAAAUGGGUUCCACAUACAUUUGGUCAUUGCUCUUAAAUAAAUGGAAUGCACUGCAGGUGUAGCCAGUGCCACUCUGUCAGCAAAUUAAAUUGAGUGUUUACUCUGUAUUCAAGUAUAAACAUCUUUUUUUCUCUAAUCAA
Setaria italica (foxtail millet) is the source of this 776-nucleotide long non-coding RNA. RefSeq lists it as uncharacterized. NCBI's taxonomy places the organism in Eukaryota, Viridiplantae, Streptophyta, Magnoliopsida, Poales, Poaceae. The record is from RefSeq and is a predicted model, not a curated record. The transcript is spliced from 2 exons.